Bactrocera neohumeralis is the source of this 2352-nucleotide long non-coding RNA. RefSeq lists it as uncharacterized. The record is from RefSeq and is a predicted model, not a curated record. NCBI's taxonomy places the organism in Eukaryota, Metazoa, Arthropoda, Insecta, Diptera, Tephritidae. The transcript is spliced from 3 exons.
UUAAUAAAAAUAUUCUUGUUUACAUAAAUUUUAUUUACGUUAUUAAUUUGAUAGAUAAUUUUGUUGAAGGUCAUUGACUUUGGGUUAGAUAGUUGCAUAAUUUUUAAUUUAAAUUGAUAUUGCAAGAUAUUGUUCUUAUCUAAGUUGUGUUAUGAUCACUUUCUAAUGUGGUUAGUUUAAUUGUUAUAUUGUAAUGCCGCUUGUUGCCUGGCAGGAAAAUAGAAAAUAGUCUCUUGCAUUAUAAUUAUUUUUGUUGUCCAAAGCUCAUAAGCAGCCUAAUAUAGUGAGCAUAAUUUUGGUUUUGGUUGUUGUUGGUUUUUGGGCAUUUUUUCCAUCCGCUGAGCCAAACCAGUUUUUUUUUUGCUCAAACAUAUGUACAUUUGUACACACAUAAAUUGGCUGGUACUACAUGCCCAUCACUGUGCAUAAAGUUCUCAUUCACGGCAGCAAAAUGGUAUCUGAGGCUAUAUUGCCAAUAGGUUUGUUUGCAAUUUUUAUUUUUGAAAGUAUUUUUUUAAACUUUAUUUAAUAUUAACUUUUUUUUUGCUACAGGAAUGUUAUCCGAAGAAGCGCAAAAAGCAAUGAAUAAGGAGUGUAGAAACUGUAGGCUAUUCCAUUCUCGUAAAAAUUCACGUAGUUCUACGAAUGAAGAUGUAAUGCAAUAUUUGCAAAUAUCAUCAGAUCCUUAUAUUAAUUCAUUUAGAAUGAGAAACAAAUUGAAAAAAUUAGAAUACCAUGAUGAUGUUAAAAAAUUAUUGAUUGAAUGAAAAAAAAUAUAUUGUUUUUUUUUUAUUGCAUUUCAAUGGGAGGUGGGUGUAUUAGUGGGCGUGUUAUUGUAAUUUUCGCAUGAAACAUUUUAAAUGAUAUAAAUUACAGUAAUAUAGAAUUUGAAGGAUGUAUUUAAUAUAUUUUAGAAAAUAUGGCUCUUUUUAUGUUGAGGUAGUAUGGGUGAUAGGGUUAAAAGUGGGCCAAAGUUCAAUUCUUAUUUCAAAUAAUGUUUGUAACUAUAUAACAUUCAAGUAUAUCAAAAUUGAAAGUUAUACCUAAAGUAUUACGGACAAUACGGCAUUUUACAAAUUUCGACUGUAUGGCAGGUGGGCGUAAAAGUGGGCGAAUUUUCUUAAUUUUUUUUUUUAAACUGGAAUUGUCUCAAAAAUAACCUGUGCAAAAUUUCAGAGCUUUACAAUGACUCCUUGUAUUUAAUGCCGGCGUUGUCUCACUGUGCGACGUCGGCUUCGAACAAGAAUAUUAGGGCUUACCACUUUUACGUGCUAAAAAUUAAUAUCAAGAAUCCUCAUUCAGCAGACGUCUUUCCAAAAGAGCGAGUUCCACACCACAAGGACUUCGGACUGAUUCCUCUACGAACAACCGCUUGCGGCUGAAGACCAUACGAACUUCCUAAAACCAAGAAGAAGAAACGUUGCCACAAACUCUUCAUUCCCUUGCUUCCACAACCUACGAUAUCUAUCGUUGUUACAAAACCUGUAUUAUGGAACACCAUAUUUGUGCGCUGUCAUAAAACACCAACGACAGAAGAGGACCAACACGCUUCAAAGAUUUAACUUUUCCCAAAAAGUAUAUUCUUAGGAGUAGUAGAUUGUAUCCACACUGUAUGUUUCAAACACUUUCCACGGUUCCUUAUUUUUUAAUAUUUUCAAAUUUUAGUUUGUCUCGUCGAAUUUACUCCACGAGCUCAAUCUUUCAAUGGAUUUUUAAAUUAUAACUAGUUAAAAUAGUUUUAAAUUAUAAAGAAAAUAGAAAAAACACUUCAACCGACAUUUUUUUUGUGGUAAAAUUGAAAACCAUAAUACCGAAUUUCAAAACUUCAACCAAAAUGCGGUUUGGUUGAAACACGUAAUAGGGACAUAAACUAAAGAAUUUUUAAAUAUUAUGAUUUAAUUUUCUAUAUUUCAUAUUAAAAUACGCCUUGUUCGGUCUCAUUUAUAGCUUUUACUACCGUAAAUUGAUCAAGCAUUAUAGUCCAUAUUAAUUUCAAAACACGCCUAUAUGUACCAAUAUGACAAAAUCUUGGCAUUUUUCUGCAUUCACAAAUACAUAUCGUCACCUGAAAUGCAAAACAAUGUAUCAUCAAAAAAUUCGAAAUGGAAUGUUUCAUUGAUUACGAUCCACUACUGGAAAUUACAUACAUAUACGUACAUAUGCCCAACAUUUUAAGGUUCUGUUAUCUGAUAUAACCCAGUUUUAACCAAUAUUUAAAUUUUUUUUCGCUCUUGUUCCAUUUUAUGACGUGUUUUAUUUUUUCCCCCGUAAAUUUCCGAAAAUGUUGUUACGUUAUUUUGCAUUUUAGUUGACGAUAUAUUUACUUCUAUAAAUGUGAAUAAAGAAAAAUGU